This 3024-nucleotide ribosomal RNA is filed under the name Triticum aestivum (bread wheat). Its description in RNAcentral is "partial small subunit ribosomal RNA". The record is from RNAcentral. Lineage: Eukaryota; Viridiplantae; Streptophyta; Magnoliopsida; Poales; Poaceae.
AUGGAUCCAUGGAUGCAGGAGUAUCUCGACCGGAUUGACGCCAUGCUCGACGCCUACACCGACGCCACCAGGUCCCUCGCAGAGAAAGUGGACGCUCUGGUCGUCGCCUGGCGGCCAGACCUCGAGAAGAGGUCCUCCCACACCGCCGUCGUCCACGAUCCACCAUCGCCGAUUCCUUCGCUGGAGAUCACUACUGAGGCGUCGGCGCCCAUCCCAGGCGUCUCCUGCUCCACCACCAAGGCCCAUAAGGUACCAGAGGUCAUCCACAAGGCGGCCCCUGACUGCAUCAUGGCGGCGCCUGUGACCUGUUCGACGGAUUGUUUGAAUCAAGUUGUCGCCCACGCCAGCGUCAACGAGGUCCGAGAUGUCGCCACCACCAUCUUCCCCGUGGACGCAGUUGACCUCCAGGAAGCCUCCGACACCACCAUCCACAUCGCCAAGGGUGUAGGACCCAUCCCUGACGACGCCACUCCAGAGCUCACUUCCCUGGAGGUGCGUGGCGCAGGCCUGGGCCACGAGGUUGUUGCCAUCGACGUCCACGUGCCCACCGCAUCGGCAUUCACCGGGUCGCCGGUGUGGCCCAGCUUCAACUCUGGCACCUCUGAAUCUUCAUUGCCAUCUACACACAAGGAUGUGCAAGAGGUAUGGAAGCCAAUGCCUGGGCUAUUUGACAAGCCUGAAGCUGUUGUUGCUAAUGUGAAGGAGCACAAGGAUGAUGCAAAGCUGUUGGUAAUUACACUCUUCAUGAACCCAUCAACCUGGUAUGAACAUUUCAAUACCCGAGACCCUUGCUUGGUUUCGUUGGAUGCCCAGUUGGUAUUUGCGGAGCAUAUGAGUCCUGAACUGCGUUUAACAUGGCCGACACUAGUGGGAACUAAUUUCAGUGAGUUCUGUUCAGCAGGGCUGUCUAAUUCAUAUUGUACAUUAUCCUUGUUCCCUUGGAAUCCAGGUGGUUAUUUUCUCAUGCAUAAGAAUCGGGUGACCAUGAUGCUUAUCACUACUAGUAGUAGUUCUCAUUGGCAUGUUACCCGUGUAUUUGAGGAGUCUGGUCAGUGCUUUUCUCAGAUUGCAAAAAUACAAUGGUUGUUUCCUAUUUGUAUGAAGGCGAUGACACAGUGCUUGGUAAUACUACCUCUUGUUAAGCUGGAUUAUGAGCUAUGGCAUCCACCUGAUCAGCAACCAAGGAUGAAGAGGAAGUUCCCUUGGACGUUCAGAACACAUCCAUUUCUGAAUACCCAAGCGCGGGACAAGGAAUUGACUAGUUACCUUUCUAUGAAUUUGUUCCAUCUUGGAGAUCUUGUGUACAAUACAUGGGGACGGUGGCUCAGUGUACUUGGACACUGCAUCAGGAUACUCCUAGGUCGGCUCUUGUGCUUGUGGUAUUUGCAACAAGACGAUGCUGAUUCAUGCUUCAUUACACAUGUGAAACUCUUUCAUUACAGUGAAUGGUGGUUUUCUGAACUCUGUCUGGUUACUAGCAUUCUCACCCUUGAACUGUAUCAUUCUUGCCCGGCUGCUACGACUGUCCAUCCAUUUAGGAGCAUGACAAAAUGGGGUGCUUGGAACACGGCAAGAAGUUUUUGUUUGCGGUUAAUACAGCUUGAGCCAGUACUACCUUCUAAUCUAGCUAGCAGAACUGAACAACGGCAGCUUAUCUCUGACACGUAUCCAUGGCAACAUGUAGUGUUUGGGCUGCUAUAUGAACUAGCAUACUGCAAUGAGGCCAAUCAUUAUUAUUGGUAUCUGAAGAUCCUUACAAUGCUGGUUGUUCAGACCGUACAAGUUGCAACAGAGAUACGAGAUUCAGAGUUAAGUUUGUUUGUUGCUGGUGCUUUCCUGCUUGGGCAUAAACAAAAGUUUCUCUGGACUCCAUACACUGCAAAGUUUUUGGUGUUUCACAGGACCAACUCAGCUCCUAGUUAUUUUUCAGUCUCUGACAGAAGAUCUUGCUAUAUUGUUCUGCUUGAUGUGUUUAGAAUUCUGUGCUAUGAACCGAUGCUAGCUACCGGUAUUCAACCUAGACUCUCUGAGUGUCAACCUGGCGAUUGGUUUCAUGAUGUUUUUCUCAGUGUAUGCAACACAUAUACUCCUGAACCCACGCUCGCCAAAUUUCAGGCUUUAAAAAAAUGCGAUUGCGAGCAUCUUAUAUCAACCGGGGCUUGUAAUCUAUUCAUGGACAAAGGAUGCCUCAAGCGUCACAUGGUUCACGAAGAAAACGAUUCAAUAGUAGUGCAAACUUCAAGGAUUCAGUGUGUACAGCCAAGAUGCUACUUGGAGGUUGGCUCUACUCAAGCAUAUCUGAAACUGAAGGAAGUUGAUGUUGCUGUUACUUACAUGUUUGAGCUUAGAAACAAUUCGGAUUGGGAGUUGCUUACCCAUUUCAACCGUCCACCUGAUCCAGCAAGUAUUUGGGAGUGCAUCACUGGCCGAAGCUUUCCCCGGGACCAAAUCUUACUGAUGAUUUUUCAUCCAUGGCCACCAACUCAUGUUACUUAUCUGAUAAAGUUUUGCUGUUGUGGCAGCCGGGCAGUGACUCGACAAAUGGUUUUUCAAGGUGGGCAAGGUGUCGUUGCUAUCACUGUCGGUUUUCCACAAGGCUCCGUCGACCACAAGUACUACCACGGCUUCGACAGCGACUACUUCGGCUUCUCAUGUGAUUGGAUCGCCAUCGGCCACGGCUACUACAACCCUGUCAUUCAAGUCAACCCCGACUGUGGCUACCACAACGACUUCGAGCUAGUCAAGGAACAUCGAGUGCAAUGGGAUCCGGGCGGUUCUCGGUGGCUUCGGCUUGGGGUCAAGCCGGAUCUUAAGAAUGGGGGGAUGUUAGCAGCCCUACUAACAUGUAUGCACAUGGGCUUGGCCACUGGGCCGCUCAUGGACUUGGCCCGCCCGCUACCCCAUCGCUGCAGCUACAAGUACCAGAUCAAACGCAAGGAAGAAGGUAUCCAGUGGAUCACGGACGAACCCGGUGGCGGCUACCUUCCUCUCUUCUCCUACCUCUGCUCCCCAGUUCAUCUGUAA